GGGCUUGUACUGGUUUCGACGGGGGUCUGGAAGUUGGAGAAGCCAUCCGUAGCGGGACACUACGAUAAAAGUUCCACUUUAAAAUUAAACGCAGACGAAAAUUUAGCGUACGCUGCCUAAUUGCGGCAGCAGUCGGCCUUAGGUCAUCCGUUGCUUAAGUAACCGGCUUCAAACAGACGGAGCACUUCGUUCUCAAAGCUUUGAGGGAAUGGAAGAUUUUAUGAAGCUACUAAGAUCAGUAACCCGUCAUUAGGUGACUGAUGGAGGGAAUGUCAAAGUAAUGACUGUGAUGGGAGAAGCUCUGGUGGAUGGGCUUUCGGACGCGGGUUCAACUCCCGCCAGGUCCACUA
Molecule: non-coding RNA, 350 nt
Organism: Dorea formicigenerans CAG:28
Lineage: Bacteria; Bacillati; Bacillota; Clostridia; Lachnospirales; Lachnospiraceae
Rfam family: transfer-messenger RNA
About the family: Bacterial tmRNA, also known as 10Sa RNA or SsrA, is named for its dual tRNA and mRNA-like properties. Its role is to liberate the mRNA from a stalled ribosome.
Source: Rfam